RNAcentral lists this ribosomal RNA (521 nucleotides) under uncultured bacterium. RNAcentral describes it as "bacterial SSU rRNA". It matches the Rfam family "Bacterial small subunit ribosomal RNA", at positions 791 to 1315 of the family's 1533-position model. The record is from RNAcentral.
UAGUCCACGCCGUAAACGAUGAGAACUAGAUGUCGGGAGGGUUUUGCCUCUCGGUGUCGCAGCUAACGCGUUAAGUUCUCCGCCUGGGGAGUACGGUGGCAACACUAAAACUCAAAGGAAUUGACGGGGACCCGCACAAGCGGUGGAGCAUGUGGUUUAAUUCGAUGCAACGCGAAGAACCUUACCUGCCCUUGACAUUGACAGAACCCUUUAGAGAUAGAGGGGUGCUUCGGCCUGGAAAACAGGUGCUGCAUGGCUGUCGUCAGCUCGUGUCGUGAGAUGUUGGGUUAAGUCCCGCAACGAGCGCAACCCUUGUCCUUAGUUGCCAUCAUUUAGUUGGGCACUCUAGGGAGACCGCCGGUGACAAACCGGAGGAAGGUGGGGACGACGGUCAAGUCAUCAUGGCCCUUAUGGGCAGGGCUACACACGUGCUACAAUGGCCGGUACAGAGGUUGCCAAGUCGCGAGACGGAGCCAAUCCCAGAAAGCCGGUCGUAGUCCGGAUUGGAGUCUGCAACUCGA